This 705-nucleotide ribosomal RNA is filed under the name Streptomyces sp. Its description in RNAcentral is "bacterial SSU rRNA". It matches the Rfam family "Bacterial small subunit ribosomal RNA", at positions 31 to 750 of the family's 1533-position model. The record is from RNAcentral. Lineage: Bacteria; Bacillati; Actinomycetota; Actinomycetes; Kitasatosporales; Streptomycetaceae.
GGUCGUCGCGGCGUGCUUACACAUGCAAGUCGAACCGAUGGACCCGCUGUUCGGGCGGGGAUUAGUGGCGAACGGGUGAGUAACACGUGGGCAAUCUGCCCUGCACUCUGGGACAAGCCCUGGAAACGGGGUCUAAUACCGGAUAUGACUGUCCGCCGCAUGGUGGAUGGUGUAAAGCUCCGGCGGUGCAGGAUGAGCCCGCGGCCUAUCAGCUUGUUGGUGAGGUAGUGGCUCACCAAGGCGACGACGGGUAGCCGGCCUGAGAGGGCGACCGGCCACACUGGGACUGAGACACGGCCCAGACUCCUACGGGAGGCAGCAGUGGGGAAUAUUGCACAAUGGGCGAAAGCCUGAUGCAGCGACGCCGCGUGAGGGAUGACGGCCUUCGGGUUGUAAACCUCUUUCAGCAGGGAAGAAGCGAGAGUGACGGUACCUGCAGAAGAAGCGCCGGCUAACUACGUGCCAGCAGCCGCGGUAAUACGUAGGGCGCAAGCGUUGUCCGGAAUUAUUGGGCGUAAAGAGCUCGUAGGCGGCUUGUCACGUCGGUUGUGAAAGCCCGGGGCUUAACCCCGGGUCUGCAGUCGAUACGGGCAGGCUAGAGUUCGGUAGGGGAGAUCGGAAUUCCUGGUGUAGCGGUGAAAUGCGCAGAUAUCAGGAGGAACACCGGUGGCGAAGGCGGAUCUCUGGGCCGAUACUGACGCUGAG